ACGAAAGAGCAUAUGGUGGAUGCCUUGGCAUAUAUUGACGAUGAAGGACGUAGCAGCCUGCGAAAAGCUUCGGCGAGGUGGCAAGCAACCUUUGACCCGGAGAUAUCCGAAUGGGGAAACCCACUGUGGUAAACCCACAGUACCUGCAACUGAAUACAUAGGUUGUAUGGAGUAAACCUAGGGAAUUGAAACAUCUUAGUACCUAGAGGAAUAGAAACAAAUUGCAUUCCCUUAGUAGUGGCGAACGAACGGGGAGAAGCCCAAACCACAGAGUUAUUUAUAGUUCUGUGGGGUUGUGAGGUUAAAACGUCUUCGAGCAAUCGAAGGGUAGAGUAAAAAAUGAGGUUUUGUAGUAGAACACGUUGGAAAGCGUGGCCAGAGGAGGUGACAGCCCUGUACAUAAAACUUAAUCUCGCUCUACGGUUUUUUCUCUCGAGUAGCAUGGGACACGUGAAAUCUUAUGUGAAUCUACCGGGACUAUCCGGAAAGGCUAAAUACAAUAUAUGACCGAUAGCGAACUAGUACCGUGAGGGAAAGGUGAAAAGAACCCCGGAAGGGGAGUGAAAUAGAUCUGAAACCAUAUGCUUACAAUAGAUCGGAGCCCAAGAUUAGUUCUGGGUGACGGUGUGCCUAUUGAAGAAUGAGCCAACGAGUUAUAACGUGCGGCAGAUUAAUGUCGUGAGACAGCAGUCGUAGGGAAACCGAGUGUGAAUAGCGCGAACCUCUAUCUAAUACUGAUCAAUUCUGCGAUCAGUAUUGGGUAGAAAUACGUCGUACGUUAUAGACCCGAAACCAAGUGAUCUUGCCAUGGCCAGGCCGAACCUACCGUAACAGGUAGGGGAGGGCCGAACCCACUGGUCGUAUAACGCCAGGGGAUGAGCUGUGGUAAGCGGAGAAAUUCCAAUCGAACUUGGCAAUAGCUGGUUCUCCUCGAAAUAUCUUUUGGGAUAGCCCUAUAAACUCUCCCGCGGGGGUAGAGCACUGAAUGGGAUAGAAGUCUUCGGAUAUUCUACCUAACCAAACUCCGAAUACCGCGGUGAAUUAUUAUAGGAGUCAGACCGUGGGGGCUAAGCUUCACGCGUCAAAAGGGAAACAGCCCAGAUCAUAGUCUAAGGUCCCCAAAUAUCGAUUAAGUGUUAAAGGUGGUGUCGUGACUUGAACAACCAGGAUGUUGGCUUAGAAGCAGCCAUCAUUUAAAGAUAGCGUAACAGCUCACUGGUCCAGUCGCUUCGCGCCGAAAAUGUAACGGGGCUAAAUCGAUUACCGAAGACAUGGAUGUAUAUUCUUUUGAAUAUACGUGGUAGAGGAGCAUUCGUAUCUGCGAUGAAGGUGGACCCGUGAGGGCUGCUGGAGCGGUACGAAGCGAGAAUGUUGGCAUGAGUAGCAAGAAUCAGUGUGAGAAUCACUGACACCGUAAGUCUAAGGGUUCCUGGGCAACGAUGAUCGACCCAGGGUUAGGCGGUCCUAAGGCGAGGCCGAAAGGCGUAGUCGAUGGACAGCAGGUUAAUAUUCCUGCCCUAUGUAUUGUUUUGUCAUGCCCGACGUGUUUUGAAGCGAUAUGUGCCCUCAUGGUAUGGGGCAUUGGCUGCAAUGAAAAUUGCAGACACAAGAGGACGGGGAAACCCAACCUCAAGGUAUCGGGACAGAAGGCCUAGAAAAAGGCGUUGACACGUGACAAUACAUAUCCGUACCGUAAACCAACACAGGUAGACGAGGCGAGUAGCCUCAGGUGUACGAGAGAACCCUCGUUUAGGAACUCGGCAAAACAGCGGCCGUAACUUCGGGAUAAGGCCCGCCUCGCAUCUUCGGAUGUCGAGGCCGCAGUUAACAAUUCCAAGCGACUGUUUACCAAAAACACAGGUCCCUGCUAAAUCGCAAGAUGAAGUAUAGGGGCUGAUGCCUGGCCAGUGUCCGAACGUUAAGGAAGGCGGUUAGAAAUUUAUUUCGAGGCUGCUGACCGAAGCGCGGAUGAACGCCGGCGAUAACUAUAAUCGUCCUAAGGUAGCGAAAUUCCUUGUCGGGUAAGUUCC
RNAcentral lists this ribosomal RNA (2030 nucleotides) under Candidatus Kerfeldbacteria bacterium CG_4_9_14_3_um_filter_45_8. RNAcentral describes it as "bacterial LSU rRNA". It matches the Rfam family "Bacterial large subunit ribosomal RNA", at positions 1 to 1984 of the family's 2925-position model. Lineage: Bacteria; Candidatus Kerfeldiibacteriota. The record is from RNAcentral.